RNAcentral lists this ribosomal RNA (2333 nucleotides) under Staphylococcus aureus subsp. aureus CIG1524. RNAcentral describes it as "bacterial LSU rRNA". It matches the Rfam family "Bacterial large subunit ribosomal RNA", at positions 14 to 2347 of the family's 2925-position model. Lineage: Bacteria; Bacillati; Bacillota; Bacilli; Caryophanales; Staphylococcaceae. The record is from RNAcentral.
AGGGCGCACGGUGGAUGCCUUGGCACUAGAAGCCGAUGAAGGACGUUACUAACGACGAUAUGCUUUGGGGAGCUGUAAGUAAGCUUUGAUCCAGAGAUUUCCGAAUGGGGAAACCCAGCAUGAGUUAUGUCAUGUUAUCGAUAUGUGAAUACAUAGCAUAUCAGAAGCCACACCCGGAGAACUGAAACAUCUUAGUACCCGGAGGAAGAGAAAGAAAAUUCGAUUCCCUUAGUAGCGGCGAGCGAAACGGGAAGAGCCCAAACCAACAAGCUUGCUUGUUGGGGUUGUAGGACACUCUAUACGGAGUUACAAAGGACGACAUUAGACGAAUCAUCUGGAAAGAUGAAUCAAAGAAGGUAAUAAUCCUGUAGUCGAAAAUGUUGUCUCUCUUGAGUGGAUCCUGAGUACGACGGAGCACGUGAAAUUCCGUCGGAAUCUGGGAGGACCAUCUACUAAGGCUAAAUACUCUCUAGUGACCGAUAGUGAACCAGUACCGUGAGGGAAAGGUGAAAAGCACCCCGGAAGGGGAGUGAAAUAGAACCUGAAACCGUGUGCUUACAAGUAGUCAGAGCCCGUUAAUGGGUGAUGGCGUGCCUUUUGUAGAAUGAACCGGCGAGUUACGAUUUGAUGCAAGGUUAAGCAGUAAAUGUGGAGCCGUAGCGAAAGCGAGUCUGAAUAGGGCGUUUAGUAUUUGGUCGUAGACCCGAAGCCAGGUGAUCUACCCUUGGUCAGGUUGAAGUUCAGGUAACACUGAAUGGAGGACCGAACCGACUUACGUUGAAAAGUGAGCGGAUGAACUGAGGGUAGCGGAGAAAUUCCAAUCGAACCUGGAGAUAGCUGGUUCUCUCCGAAAUAGCUUUAGGGCUAGCCUCAAGUGAUGAUUAUUGGAGGUAGAGCACUGUUUGGACGAGGGGCCCCUCUCGGGUUACCGAAUUCAGACAAACUCCGAAUGCCAAUUAAUUUAACUUGGGAGUCAGAACAUGGGUGAUAAGGUCCGUGUUCGAAAGGGAAACAGCCCAGACCACCAGCUAAGGUCCCAAAAUAUAUGUUAAGUGGAAAAGGAUGUGGCGUUGCCCAGACAACUAGGAUGUUGGCUUAGAAGCAGCCAUCAUUUAAAGAGUGCGUAAUAGCUCACUAGUCGAGUGACACUGCGCCGAAAAUGUACCGGGGCUAAACAUAUUACCGAAGCUGUGGAUUGUCCUUUGGACAAUGGUAGGAGAGCGUUCUAAGGGCGUUGAAGCAUGAUCGCAAGGACAUGUGGAGCGCUUAGAAGUGAGAAUGCCGGUGUGAGUAGCGAAAGACGGGUGAGAAUCCCGUCCACCGAUUGACUAAGGUUUCCAGAGGAAGGCUCGUCCGCUCUGGGUUAGUCGGGUCCUAAGCUGAGGCCGACAGGCGUAGGCGAUGGAUAACAGGUUGAUAUUCCUGUACCACCUAUAAUCGUUUUAAUCGAUGGGGGACGCAGUAGGAUAGGCGAAGCGUGCGAUUGGAUUGCACGUCUAAGCAGUAAGGCUGAGUAUUAGGCAAAUCCGGUACUCGUUAAGGCUGAGCUGUGAUGGGGAGAAGACAUUGUGUCUUCGAGUCGUUGAUUUCACACUGCCGAGAAAAGCCUCUAGAUAGAAAAUAGGUGCCCGUACCGCAAACCGACACAGGUAGUCAAGAUGAGAAUUCUAAGGUGAGCGAGCGAACUCUCGUUAAGGAACUCGGCAAAAUGACCCCGUAACUUCGGGAGAAGGGGUGCUCUUUAGGGUUAACGCCCAGAAGAGCCGCAGUGAAUAGGCCCAAGCGACUGUUUAUCAAAAACACAGGUCUCUGCUAAACCGUAAGGUGAUGUAUAGGGGCUGACGCCUGCCCGGUGCUGGAAGGUUAAGAGGAGUGGUUAGCUUCUGCGAAGCUACGAAUCGAAGCCCCAGUAAACGGCGGCCGUAACUAUAACGGUCCUAAGGUAGCGAAAUUCCUUGUCGGGUAAGUUCCGACCCGCACGAAAGGCGUAACGAUUGGGCACUGUCUCAACGAGAGACUCGGUGAAAUCAUAGUACCUGUGAAGAUGCAGGUUACCCGCGACAGGACGGAAAGACCCCGUGGAGCUUUACUGUAGCCUGAUAUUGAAAUUCGGCACAGCUUGUACAGGAUAGGUAGGAGCCUUUGAAACGUGAGCGCUAGCUUACGUGGAGGCGCUGGUGGGAUACUACCCUAGCUGUGUUGGCUUUCUAACCCGCACCACUUAUCGUGGUGGGAGACAGUGUCAGGCGGGCAGUUUGACUGGGGCGGUCGCCUCCUAAAAGGUAACGGAGGCGCUCAAAGGUUCCCUCAGAAUGGUUGGAAAUCAUUCAUAG